UACGUAGGGUGCGAGCGUUAAUCGGAAUUACUGGGCGUAAAGCGUGCGCAGGCGGCUUUGCAAGACAGAUGUGAAAUCCCCGGGCUCAACCUGGGAACUGCAUUUGUGACUGCAAGGCUAGAGUACGGCAGAGGGGGAUGGAAUUCCGCGUGUAGCAGUGAAUGCGUAGAUAUGCGGAGGAACACCAAUGGCGAAGGCAAUCCCCUGGGCCUGUACUGACGCUCAUGCACGAAAGCGUGGGGAGCAAACAGG
RNAcentral lists this ribosomal RNA (252 nucleotides) under uncultured bacterium. RNAcentral describes it as "partial 16S ribosomal RNA". It matches the Rfam family "Bacterial small subunit ribosomal RNA", at positions 524 to 776 of the family's 1533-position model. The record is from RNAcentral.